AUUGAACGCUGGCGGCAGGCCUAACACAUGCAAGUCGAACGAGUGGCGGACGGGUGAGUAAUGUCUGGGAAACUGCCCGAUGGAGGGGGAUAACUACUGGAAACGGUAGCUAAUACCGCAUACCAUCGGAUGUGCCCAUAUGGGAUUAGCUGGUAGGUGGGGUAACGGCUCACCUAGGCGACGAUCCCUAGCGGGUCUGAGAGGAUGACCAGCCACACUGGAACUGAGACACGGUCCAGACUCCUACGUGAGGCAGCAGUGGGGAAUAUUGCACAAUGGGCGCAAGCCUGAUGCAGCCAUGCCGCGUGGAUGAAGAAGGCCUUCGGGUUGUAAAGUACUUUCAGCGGGGAGGCGUUACCCACAGAAGAAGCACCGGCUAACUCCGUGCCAGCAGCCGCGGUAAUAC
Molecule: ribosomal RNA, 406 nt
Filed under: uncultured bacterium
Lineage: Bacteria
Description: partial 16S ribosomal RNA
Rfam family: Bacterial small subunit ribosomal RNA
Source: RNAcentral